This 5527-nucleotide long non-coding RNA is filed under the name Salvia miltiorrhiza (redroot sage). RNAcentral describes it as "long non-coding RNA (SMIL_LNC002734)". The record is from RNAcentral. Lineage: Eukaryota; Viridiplantae; Streptophyta; Magnoliopsida; Lamiales; Lamiaceae.
GUUCAAUCUGAAGGAGCUCGCAGUUACUCAUCUCUGCGCGGAUCGCUGCUGUCCGCCGGCAAAUUGAUCGUGUCAAAAAUUCCGGCUAUCGGCAGCGGAGAUUGAAUCCAAUCACCGUUUGACGGCGGAAGGCGAUAUUAAUUAGGAGGUGAAGGAGGAGAGAGAUCUGGGGUUUUCGAAAUUUAGAAAAUUUUGCGCUGGCUUUUCUUCCAGUUUAGAGAGAGAGAGAGAGUGGGAGAGAAAUAAAUUACGCAAAAUGUGGAAACUGCAGAGCGUCUAUUAAAAUAUGAAUAAUUUAUUGUUAAUCCACUUUAGCCCUUCAAUUAAACUCGAUAUAUAUUGCCUCUAGACUUUUGGUUCGAACAUAGGUAAAAAAACAAGAUGACACUCUCCGUCCCGCUUGAAAUGGUCCUAAAUUUUUCGACACGAAGAGUAAAGAAUGUAUGAUAAAAGUAUAAAGUGGUGAUGGGACCAUCCAAAAAAUAAUAUUAAAUAUUUCUAAAUUAGAUCAAGGAAUGUGUGAUAAAUGUGUAAAGUGAUGGUGAACCAUCCAAAAUAAAAAUAGGGUCAUUUGAAGCUGGGACGGAGGAAGUAAAAUUUAAAAGAGAAAAACAAGAGAGUUUGGUUUUGUAAAAUUCAACUCGUUAGAGAACCCAGUGUUGUGCCCAAAAAAUAACAGUUAUAACAUAAAAUUAAAAUAAACACAUAAUUGAUUUCAGUGUAAAGUAUAGACGAUGAUAGUAGAUAAUUUAUUUACAUUAAAGUUUUACAUGUAUUUAUAGGCAGAGAACUAAGAAUUCUAGUAAGACUUAUAAUAGGACUAUGAUUCUUCAUAUUUAUCCAUAUCUUCGUGAUAAUCUCCUUCUUUAUCGAAUAUUUGAUAGUCUUUGAGAUAGCUUCAAAUCCCGGAAAAUCAGGACUGCUAGACCGUGGACAGCGCUGUCUUAAUCUCUCGGUCUUCAAAGGAAGCAUAUUUUUGUCCUCAUCAACUACAAUUGAGUUUGUGAACUAAUUCAUAAAGUAAUAGAUAUAUUAAACUUACCAUUUAACAUAUUGUUUAAAAUUUCUUCUUAAUAUGAUACUAGAGUUGCCCUUUAUUGAUGCACAAUAACAAUUAUAGUUAAAAUAAGUAUAUAUAAAAUUAAAUUAGAAAAAAGUCUAAAUAUGACAUCAAAAUGGUAUAAAUUUUAUAAUUUUGAAUUUUAUACAAUAUUAAUAGUUAUAGUUAUAUUACAAAAUACUAUUAAUCCUUUAAUUUUAUUUUAUUUUCAAAAAUGCCACUAAUUCAAUUUAAAAUUGAUUUCAAAUUGAAUAUUAACUUUUUAAUACUUCCUCUGUCCAAAAAAAAAAAACAUUUUUGUCAUUUUGAGAUGUCCAUAAAAAUUAAUUUCUUUCUAUUUUUAUCUAUUACAUUGUGAACCAUAUUCUCCAUUCACAUUUCACAUUAAGAUUAGAGCCUUUAAAUUGAAUCAUGGGCACACAAGAAACUGAAUAAGAAAAGGAAGAAGAAUUCUUGAUUAAGAUCUAGGUUUUCUCCUUUCAAAAAAAAACAAAGAUCUAGGUUUUCUAAACGCAAAUACCAGGAGUACUAGUAUUUAAUUAGGAUAUAUAUGACAUAUAAUUUACUUUUAAAAUGAUGGAUGAUGAAGAUGUACAACGAACAAAUUAACAAAUUUAUUGAAAGAGCUACAUAAAAAUCAAAUACACGAAUACGAGGACCUACUAAAACAAAACAAAAAAAAUAUACUCCCUACUGUUACUUUUAGGCACAAAAAUUAAAAAAUAUGUAAUUAAUAGAUAAAAUAGAUUGAUAAAAAUAAUUUAAAUAUUAAGUAUAGAAAAAAAAUAUAUUGUCAAAAAAGAAAUAAUACAUUUAUAAUUGGGCAAAAGGAGUAGCAUAAAACAAGAUUUAAAUGUACAAUAACUUGCUAAUGCAUUUUACGUUUAAUAUAUUGAUAAAAGUAAUAAUUUAUCAUAUAUUUAUACUCCUAUUGAGUUUUUCCUAGAGUACUAAACCGAGUUGAAAUAAUGUGAAAAAAUAUACUCCCUCCGUCCCUGAAAUGGCUUCCUCUUUGGGGACGGCACGGGUUUUAAUAAAAAGUUGUAAAGUGUAUUGAUAGUGGAGAAAAAGUGAUAUAAUUAUUAUUGGAAGUUGUGAAAAGUGUUAUAAUUAGUAUUGGGAGUGGUGAAAAGUGAAAAGUAAGAAUAAAUAAAGUAUUAUUAGUGGUGGGGUAGGUGUCCAAAAAUGGAAAUAAAGAAAGAGGAAGUUAUUUGGGGAACGCCCCAAAAUGGAAAAAGAGGAAGUUAUUUUAGGGACGGAGGGAGUAUAUGUAUCCUUGUAAAAAAAAUAACUGAAAAAGAAGGCAAAAACUAGUCACACAACAAAUGCACUUGAGCAAUUACAGAAACCAACCAAACCAUCUAGGCAUGAAUGUUUUUCUACAGUCAAGCAAACAACUAACCAAAAAUAUUAAGCUCUUAUAAGUGACAUCCCUUCAAUGUCCUAAAAUUUGAACAUGCAGGCAACUGAUUUGAUAACUGAAUGUAGAAACACAAACACAUCAUCUCUUCAAAAGAUACCCCAACAAGAUCCCGAUCAAGCUAACGAUGAUGACAUACAUGAUGGGGACACCGCCAGCGCUUUUUUGACCUUGACCUUGACGUCUCACCAGCUCCUGCAUGCCAUAAGCAGAUGAUUAACUAAAAUGAUUCAAGGUAGAAUUUCUAUCCCUCAUGUGAAGCGUAAUAGAAAAAGCUAAUCUAUCCAAAGCUGAUCCGAAUCCUAGGAUCAUCGUGAAACAUUACAUUACAAUUCCGCUAAAUCUCAAUUAGAAAGUAAUGUCACGCUGAACUUGAAACUUACAGUAAAAGGAUGAAUUGAAGCUGACGUUCCACAAAUCAAAUUCUUUACUAAAAGAAACGCUGUUUGGCUAUAAGGAGGAUAUAUAACAAGCAACUACAAGAAAUCCGAUUUUUCACAAAACACAUAACUGAAAGAAGUCAGAAUUUGUUCAAUCCAUUUUCAGCCAACUUAUCCAUAUGUUCAUAAGAAUCUUCUUUUUUGUCUUAUUUAAAAAUUGAGUUGAGUUUUCAUGCGUUCAGUGAUUCUCACGAUCAAAUAGAUAUUUCUGUGAAUUUGAUUAGAUUAAUGGUAGGGACUUCUUGACGAUAUUGGCCAGUAAAUAAUGCUUAGCAUACAGCCUAAUAGAUUGCUGGUUCUAACAUUCAGGUUCGCCAAAUCAUGAUCAUGGGAUCACAAAGUGGAGGCCAAGUUCAUUUAAAAACAAUUCAAUUCAAAGCAGAAACCAAUUGGAACGUGGUGAUCAAAUAAAGCACAAAUCCACACUGCCAUAGUUGAACAAUAUAAACAUGUUUCUGAAUUUUUCAAGGUCUUCUAUCUCCAGUAGUCCAAAGUACACAACCAGAUAAGAAAAUAAAUCAUAUUAUAUUCUUAAUACUUCAUCGUUGACCUUCAAAAAAAGUCUUAGAAAUCAGACAUUUAAAUGAUUACCAGUUCUUGCUGAAGCCUGUUAUUUUGCUGAAUAGCAGAUUGUUUCUCCUCAGUCAGCUUCAAAAUGAGGGCCUUCACCUACAAACAAGUAAAAGACCAACGAUCAGCAAACAGAAUACCCUUACGACCUUAACUAGUGUCAGGACAAAGAUAUCAUGUAAAUCAAAUUCAGUAAACUCCUGAACUCCUAAAAACAGGAAGAUGACAGGUAAAACAAAAUAACAUAAAAGGGUCACUCCAGCUAGACCCACCUAAUACAAUUCUAAAAGAAGUGAUAGACACAAGAACCACGAACCCAAAUUACAUAACUAGUAACAAGACAUAUAGAGAAACAGAAAAUGAAUAAUAUAACCUCUGAUGUGACUUCAUUUGUUUCAGGGAAUCCUUUUGACAUCUGCAAAGUCACAAAGAAAUGAAAGAUUAUUGUUCUUUAAUCUUAUAUAUCAUCUUGGCUAGAUAAAAAUAUACUGACCACGUUCAAAUCAGAAGACUGAUUUACAGUCCCAUUCUCUGACACCGAUGCCCUUGGGGAGGAACCUUCCUCUGAACCCUCUCGCACUGGUGAAGGUGGUUGAGGGGGUGGAACAUAGGCUACUCUCAAUUUGCAUUCAUCUACUUGGUUCCCCGAGUCUUUGUUGAACUAAAUGCAGAUCAGGUAAAUAUAUUUAACAUCUUUGACAAAACAUUCACAGCCUUAACAAUCUUUGUUAUAAAACAUAUACUGCAUGCUGCAGAAAGAAUCAUAAAAUUACCAUUUCUGGAGUAAUAUCCUUUGCAGAUACCCCAGGGUUCACCACUACACUCUGGAGGAGAAACUUAUCCCUGCAUUGCAUAUCCGGUGGAGCCUCUUUUUGGGCUUGCAUGGUAACUGAAUGAAUGACCAAAGAAUUCCAGACUCACUCUUAUGUAAGGACGCAAUAACAAAAUAUCCUCUCAAAAACAUUUCCACCACCAAAAAGUAACUAAAUUUACAUAAACCGUAGUUGAAAUGUAAAUCUAUUUGUGGCCGCAUGCACAAACAUUUAGAGACAGAGAGAGAGGUGGGACGGAGAGGGAGACCUGUGACAUCACAACUAGAGUGUGGCAUCACGACUCCAGUGUUUGGCCUCACACAGUACUUCUUCGGAUUUGUUGUCUUCACCUGAAUAUAGAAGCAGAAACCCAAAAAGAAGGUAAUUCAGAUACUUCCGACUCAACAUCAAGGGCAUUUCUUACUUGUGUUUUCUUCAAAUUCACAAAACGAAUAAAACAUAAGUAAAACGUAAUCCUAAUCCAAAUGAAGGCCAUUAAGGAUACAAAACAGCUACCUUGAAUGCAACAUGAUUCUCAGACUUGUUCGUCAAUUGCAUCGAACAUGAGAUCUGCUUCUUCAAUUCGACUAUCACACGCCACAAAAUGCGAAACAUAUUAACCCAAGAACAUCAGAACCAGGAAUAAUCUAAAGUGUAGAUCUAAAAGAAUAAAAUUUAAAUCAGCCUCAGUCACCAUUUUCCCUAAAUCACGGAAUCUUCUAGAACUCAAUUGAACAAAAAAAAAAACUUCCCUCACACUAAGACAGACCUAAAUUCGAAACAGAAAUACAAGAGGCAUCUCACUUACAUGCGAAUUGAAGUUCGAGAGGUUCAAUUUCAAGGAGCUCGCAGGUACUCAUCUCUAAGCGGAUCGCUGCAGUCCGCCGGAUAACUGAUCGCGUUAAAGAUUCCGGCUGUCGGCGGCGGAGAUUGAAUCCAAUCACCGUUUCACGGCGGAAAGCGAUAUUAAUUAGGAGGCGAAGGAGGAGAGAGAUCUGGGGUUUUCGAAAUUUAGGAAAUUUUGUGCUGGCUUUUCUUCCGGUUUAGAGAGAGAGAGAGAGAGUGGAAGAGAAAUAAAUUACGCAAACGUGGAAAGUGCAAUGCGUCUAUUAAAAUAUGAAUAAUUUAAGAUUAAUUCCACUUUGGCCCUUCAAUUAAACUGCAUAUAUAUUGCUCUAGACUAUUCUAAGAGAGAGUUUGGUUCCAACAGGCAACAGGUAAAAAA